GGGGAUGUGGCUUAGUGGUAAAGUGCUUGCCUCUCAUGCAUGAAGCCUGGGGUUCAAUUCCUCAGCACCA
RNAcentral lists this transfer RNA (70 nucleotides) under Dipodomys ordii (Ord's kangaroo rat). It matches the Rfam family "tRNA". From Rfam's summary of the family: Transfer RNA (tRNA) molecules are approximately 80 nucleotides in length. Their secondary structure includes four short double-helical elements and three loops (D, anti-codon, and T loops). Lineage: Eukaryota; Metazoa; Chordata; Mammalia; Rodentia; Heteromyidae. The record is from Rfam by way of RNAcentral.